UUCCGGUUGAUCCUGCCAGAGGCCACUGCUAUCGGAGUUCGAUUAAGCCAUGCGAGUCGAGAGGUGCAAGACCUCGGCAUACUGCUCAGUAACACGUGGACAAUCUAACCUAUGGAAGGGGAUAACCCCGGGAAACUGGGGAUAAUACCCUAUAGACUAUGAAUGCUGGAAUGCUUUGUAGUCCAAAGGUCAGCCGCCAUAGGAUGGGUCUGCGGCCGAUUAGGUUGUUGUUGGGGUAACGGCCCAACAAGCCUGUAAUCGGUACGGGUUGUGGGAGCAAGAGCCCGGAGAUGGAUUCUGAGACACGAAUCCAGGCCCUACGGGGCGCAGCAGGCGCGAAAACUUUACAAUGCGGGAAACCGUGAUAGGGGAACUCCGAGUGCCCGUUAAAUCGGGCUGUCCAUCAGUUUAAAUAACUGGUGAAGAAAGGGCCGGGCAAGACCGGUGCCAGCCGCCGCGGUAAUACCGGCGGCUCGAGUGGUGGCCACUAUUACUGGGCUUAAAGCGUUCGUAGCUGGUUUGUUAAGUCUCUGGGGAAAUCUUCCGGCUUAACCGGAAGGCGUUUCAGGGAUACUGGCAGACUAGGGACCGGGAGAGGUGAGGGGUACUCCAGGGGUAGGAGUGAAAUCCUGUAAUCCUUGGGGGACCACCUGUGGCGAAGGCGCCUCACCAGAACAGCUCCGACAGUGAGGGACGAAAGCUGGGGGAGCAAACCGGAUUAGAUACCCGGGUAGUCCCAGCCGUAAACGAUGUGCGUUAGGUGUAUCGGUGACCACGAGUCACCGAGGUGCCGAAGAGAAAUCGUGAGACGUACCGCCUGGGAAGUACGGUCGCAAGGCUGAAACUUAAAGGAAUUGGCGGG
Molecule: ribosomal RNA, 862 nt
Filed under: uncultured Methanomicrobiaceae archaeon
Lineage: Archaea; Methanobacteriati; Methanobacteriota; Methanomicrobia; Methanomicrobiales; Methanomicrobiaceae
Description: bacterial SSU rRNA
Rfam family: Archaeal small subunit ribosomal RNA
Source: RNAcentral